UCCGCUGAGGAUGGCUUUUCCUUGGUAUAACUAGCCGAGGGAAUAAGGAGAGGGCAAGACUGGUGUCAGCCGCCGCGGUAAUACCAGCUCUCCGAGUGGUAGGGAUGAUUAUUGGGCUUAAAGCGUCCGUAGCCGGCUUAGCAAGUCUCCUGCUAAACUCAGCGACUCAAUCGUUGAUCCGCGGGAGAUACUACUAGGCUAGGAGGCGGGAGAGGUCGACGGUACUUCUGGGGUAGGGGUGAAAUCCUAUAAUCCCGGGAGGACCACCAGUGGCGAAGGCUGUCGA
Molecule: ribosomal RNA, 286 nt
Filed under: Candidatus Bathyarchaeota archaeon
Lineage: Archaea; Thermoproteati; Candidatus Bathyarchaeota
Description: partial 16S ribosomal RNA
Rfam family: Archaeal small subunit ribosomal RNA
Source: RNAcentral